RNAcentral lists this ribosomal RNA (253 nucleotides) under uncultured bacterium. Its description in RNAcentral is "partial 16S ribosomal RNA". It matches the Rfam family "Bacterial small subunit ribosomal RNA", at positions 524 to 776 of the family's 1533-position model. The record is from RNAcentral.
UACGUAGGGGGCGAGCGUUAUCCGGAGUUACUGGGCGUAAAGCGCACGCAGGCGGUCUGCUAAGUUUGGAGUGACAGUUGGUGGCUUAACUGCCAAAGUGCUUCGAAAACUGACAGACUUGAGGGCUUCAGAGGGACACGGAAUUCCGGGUGGAGUGGUGAAAUGCGUAGAGAUCCGGAGGAACACCAAAGGCGAAGGCAGUGUCCUGGGGAGUACCUGACGCUCAGGUGCGAAAGCCAGGGGAGCGAACGGG